RNAcentral lists this long non-coding RNA (604 nucleotides) under Vitis vinifera (wine grape). Its description in RNAcentral is "long non-coding RNA (VVIN_LNC003633)". The record is from RNAcentral. Lineage: Eukaryota; Viridiplantae; Streptophyta; Magnoliopsida; Vitales; Vitaceae.
UAUAAUGGAGAAGUCAGGUAGACUCAAGGUUCCCAGAUUGUGGGUUUAAAGACUAUUUUCAGGUUUAGGAGUUGGUUUUCUAAUAGAAACCUAGAGAGAGAGAGAGAGAUGGCCUCACUGAUAAUGAAAGUUUUCUGAAGAAGUGCCAGCAGAAAGGUAUGAGCAAUACUGUGUUUUCAAGGGAGUUUUGCUUGGAUACCAUGUGUCUGUGGCAUUUUUUAUUGUUUGAGGGAUUACUGAUUAGGGUCUGUUUCGAAGCAGGUAUUAGAUAACAAUACUUUGACCAUCCAACUGAAGGGAAUUCUCAGCCUUCAUAAAAUUUCUUCUUUCAUUCCAUGUUUUUGCUAAUCCCUCUUUUCCCCACCUUUUGUAAUAAAUGGACUUCUUUCUUCCAGAAAAUACUCAUCCACAACAUUAGAUAUCAAAUGAACUAAUUUUCUCAAUGAGAAUAAUGUUGGUACAGCAGAGGAUUUAUCUAAACUGAGUAAUUUAGGAUGAAGAGUACAGAAAAAUUAUAGUUUAAUAAGAAAGUAUCUUAACAAGGUAGAAACUAUUUUUAUGAAACAGUACCCAAAACAUGACACAUGCUCAACCUGAAUAAAAG